GUUGCCGUGGUGUAGUGAUUAUCACGUGCGCCUCACACGCGCAAGGUCCCUGGUUCGAUCCCGGGCGGGAACA
This 73-nucleotide transfer RNA is filed under the name Dermacentor silvarum. Its description in RNAcentral is "transfer RNA valine (anticodon CAC)". Lineage: Eukaryota; Metazoa; Arthropoda; Arachnida; Ixodida; Ixodidae. The record is from RNAcentral.